This 497-nucleotide ribosomal RNA is filed under the name uncultured bacterium. Its description in RNAcentral is "partial 16S ribosomal RNA". It matches the Rfam family "Bacterial small subunit ribosomal RNA", at positions 28 to 507 of the family's 1533-position model. The record is from RNAcentral.
GGGGGGGGCGGGGGGCGGGGCGGGUGCAGGCAGGGCGGGCGGACAGAUGGGGGGCUUGCUCCUCGGGCGUUAGCGGCGGACGGGUGGGUGACACGUGGAUAACCUACCUAUAAGACUGGGAUAACUUCGGGACACCUGAGCUAAUACCGGAUCAUAUAUUGAACCGCAUGGUUCAAUAGUGAGAGACGGUUUUUCUGUCCCUUAUAUAUGGAUCCGCGCCGCAUUAGCUAGUUGUUAAGGUAACGGCUUACCAAGGCAACGAUGCGUAGCCGACCUGAGAGGGUGAUCGGCCACACUGGAACUGAGACACGGUCCAGACUACUACGGGAGGCAGAAGUAGGGAAUCUUCCGAAAUGGGCGAAAGCCUGACGGAGCAACGCCGCGUGAGUGAUGAAGGUCUUCGGAUCGUAAAACUCUGUUAUUAGGGAAGAACAAAUGUGUAAGUAACUAUGCACGUCUUGACGGUACCUAAUCAGAAAGCCACGGCUAAAUACGUG